This 1015-nucleotide ribosomal RNA is filed under the name Heterorhabditis sonorensis. RNAcentral's name for it is "eukaryotic LSU rRNA". The stretch from base 572 to 721 matches the Rfam family "5.8S ribosomal RNA". Lineage: Eukaryota; Metazoa; Nematoda; Chromadorea; Rhabditida; Heterorhabditidae. The record is from RNAcentral.
GUACCACCGCCCGUNCGCUGUCCGGGAACUGCANCUGUUUCGAGUAAGNAGUGGGGACUGCUAUAUCGGGGCUUUCGGGCUCUGGUAUGAUGGAAACCAUUUUAAUCGCAAUGGCUUGAACCGGGCAAAAGUCGUAACAAGGUAUCUGUAGGUGAACCUGCAGAUGGAUCAUCGUCGAUGCCUUAUAGGUAUAUGCUUUGAUCACGAGAUGCUGAUAAUCAUGGAAUCAAGCUUGCUCUUGAUUUCAGUCGGUGUCUCACCCCAUCUAAGCUCUCGGAGAGGUGUCUAUUCUUGAUUGGAGCCGAUUUGAGUGACGGCAAUGAUAAUUGGAUAUGCUCCCGUUCGGAUAAGAGCAUAAGACUUAAUGAGCUGAUCUAGGUCUGUCGCCUCACCAAAAACCCAUCGAUAGUUGGUGGGCUAAGUGAUGAGACUUUGUCAAAAUCACUAAUCNUGCUAUGCGGGGAGCCUUAAUGAGUUGUUCGUGUCACUUGGCCGAGACAACCGCCAGUAUCGAUAAAUCUCUUCCCAAAUUAACUUGUUUCUAGUAAAGGCUAUUGAGUUAGUGGAACAUUAGCCUUAGCGAUGGAUCGGUUGAUUCGCGUAUCGAUGAAAAACGCAGCAAGCUGCGUUAUUUGCCACGAAUUGCAGACGCUUAGAGUGGUGAAAUUUUGAACGCACAGCGCCGUUGGGUUUUCCCUUCGGCACGUCUGGCUCAGGGUUGUUUGAUAGACUUCGGUAUUGCUUGGAAGGCAGCAAUACCGCGAACCAAACGGUGAUAGUGUCUAGAAUAUGUGGUGCAUGCCCCGUUACAGGGGAGAAUGGUGGUUAAAUGAACUUCUCUUAACGCCGGAGAAGUAUUAGGUUUCACUUAUGGAUAUGCCAUGUAUGAAAUACGACGUGGUUAUAUACAUAAAUCGUGUUUCCUAUAAGUCUCAUUAUGCAACCUGAGCUCAGUCGUGACUACCCGCCGAACUUAAGCAUAUCAUUGCAGCGGNGAAAAGAAACUAACUAGGUC